UACGUAGGGUCCGAGCGUUGUCCGGAAUUAUUGGGCGUAAAGGGCUCGUAGGCGGUUUGUCGCGUCGGGAGUGAAAACUCAGGGCUCAACCCUGAGCGUGCUUCCGAUACGGGUGGACUAGAGGUAGGUAGGGGAGAUCGGAAUUCCUGGUGUAGCGGUGAAAUGCGCAGAUAUCAGGAGGAACACCGGUGGCGAAGGCGGGUCUCUGGGCCGAUACUGACGCUGAGGAGCGAAAGCGUGGGGAGCGAACAGG
Molecule: ribosomal RNA, 253 nt
Filed under: uncultured bacterium
Lineage: Bacteria
Description: partial 16S ribosomal RNA
Rfam family: Bacterial small subunit ribosomal RNA
Source: RNAcentral